AUGGCUUCACCUCCAUGGGUUCGCCUUGUGCUGCUACUCCUAGCCGCCGUCCCCGCAUGCCAUGGCCGCCCACUUUUUGAUGACGACGUCAACAAAAUCAUGACCACCCAGCCCCUGCCGCCAUCCGUGAUCUCCUGCUCAACUGCUGGCAACUACAGUGAUGGAAGCCAGUACCACGUGAAUCUCGAUCGGCUCUUGUCGGCCAUCCCCAUGGCCGCCGCCAAGGAUGGCGGCUUCUUCAACAGCAAAUUCGGCAUGGAGGGCGAAGAGGUCUUCGGCCUCUUCAUGUGCUAUGCCGGCGACACCGACUCUCAGUGCCAGGACUGCCUCACCCGUGCACCUGCGGGUGUCAUGAAGCUGUGCCCGCACAGCCGGACUGUUCGCGCUGUCUACAACGCCUGCACCCUUCGGUACUCUGAUGAGUCCUUCUUCUCCGUCGCCGACCUCAUAGACAUAGCCGAUCUCUCCGAUGCUCCAAACAUGGAAAUGGAACGAUCCUCUUACCGUACUCAGUACGGCGGAGGCGGAGACAGUUAUGCAGCUUGGUACCAGGGAGUCGUACCACUCGUAGGCUACGUUGUGGACACGGCCGGCAUGAGCCGCAUGAGGUCCGAGCUUAUUCGCCGGCUCAUGGGGAAGGCGGGCCAAGCGGCUGAGAGGAUCGCCUCAGGCACACAACGGUUCACUGACACACAAUGGGUGUGGGCGGUGGCGCAGUGUACGAGGGACUUGCCGGCAAGCGAAUGCACACGCUGUCUCUCCUACUAUACUGAUCAGCUGCCGCGGUUGUUCCCGAACAACAGUGGCGGCGCCAUCAAGGGGUACAGCUGCUACUUGGGGUACGCCAUCCUUGCGGACAAGCCGUCUACUGUGCGGCUUAACAGGUACCGGUACAGCGAGAACUAUGAGAGGGACAUGGCGGCCCAGAAGUUGGAGCGCGAGAAGGCGAUGGCGGAUGAGGAGUCGAGGCACAGAAAAAAGCGACGGAAGAUAGCUAUCAUUGUCAGCCUUAUUGCCAUCGCCGUGGCGCUCGUGAUCUGCCUGAUCGGCCUGUUGAUUCGGUUCAUGUGGUACCGGUGGCGAGGCUGGGUGGCAGCAGGCAGGGUUGCCAUGAGAUCAUACAUGGAAAAACCGCCGAAAGAGGCGGCCUACUUCCAUGGCAAAAGCAUACGCCAAGAUGAGCUCGAGCAAGGGGCUGGGCCAAGACGAUUCAGGUACGACGAGCUCGCGGCUGCCACCAACGGCUUCUCUGGCAGGAACAAGCUGGGAGAAGGAGGCUUUGGAUCUGUUUACCGGGGGUUCCUCCACGACAUGAACCUUCACAUCGCCGUGAAGAAAGUGUCCAAGAGCUCUCGUCAGGGCUGGAAGGAGUUUGUAUCCGAGGUGAGGAUCAUUAGCCGGCUCCGGCACCGGAACCUCGUGCCGCUUGUUGGAUGGUUCUAUGGCGGCGAUGAUGAUGGCCUUCUGCUCGUGUAUGAGCUGAUGCCCAAUGGCAGCCUUGACGCACACCUGUACAACCCGGAACAGCUGCUGCCAUGGGCAGUCAGGUACGAGGUUGCGCUCGGGGUCGGCUCCGCGCUGAUGUACCUGCACCAGGAUACGGAGCAGCGCGUCGUGCACAGGGACGUCAAGCCGAGCAACAUCAUGCUGGACGCGUCCUUCAAUGCCAAGCUCGGUGACUUUGGGCUCGCAAGGCUAGUUUGCGAUGGUCGGAGCUCAUUCACGACGGGUGCAGCCGGGACUCUCGGGUACAUGGAUCCGAAGUGUGUGUUCGUGGGUACGGCCAGUGUGGAGUCCGAUGUGUACAGCUUCGGUGUCGUCCUAGUCGAGAUGGCUUGUGGUCGGACCCCGGCGGUGGCCGAUGGCGGAGCAGUCGUCCACCUGUUGCAGUGGGUAUGGGAGUCCUACGGCAGAGGGGCCAUCCUGGAGGCAGCUGACGCCCGGCUGGACGGCAAGUUCGACGAGAAAGAGAUGGAGCGUGUCAUGGUGGUCGGGCUCUGGUGCGGGCACCCAGACCCCGGCCUGAGACCGUCCAUCAGGCAGGCUGUCAGCGUGCUGCGUUUGGAGGCGCCGCUGCCGAGCCUCCCAGCGGAGAUGCCGGUCCCAACAUACAUGAUGCAGCCAGCGGCUGAUGAAUCUAUUGGUUCUUCGGUGGUCAGUGGCGGGGAUGCCAGCACAACUCGUUCGGCUCGAGGCAAAGUCGAGUAG
This 2208-nucleotide ribosomal RNA is filed under the name Triticum aestivum (bread wheat). RNAcentral's name for it is "partial small subunit ribosomal RNA". The record is from RNAcentral. Lineage: Eukaryota; Viridiplantae; Streptophyta; Magnoliopsida; Poales; Poaceae.